GUUGUAAGCAGUAUUUCCAUACUAGCUUUUUGUACCGUCCAUUUCAAUCUUCUUUGAACAGUACGUUGUUUAUCUUUAUACUUAAAUUACAUUCUUUUAAUAUACUUCAUAAUUAUUAUUGAUCUUCGAUAUCUUUGUAAACGUACUGUAUUGAAAGGGUGCAUGUUGUAAGCAGUAUUUCCAUACUAGCUUUUUGUACCGUCCAUUUCAAUCUUCUUUCAACAGUACGUUGUUUAUCUUUAUAUUCAUAAUUAUUGUUGUGUUUGUAUUUAAAUCCCAUACUUUCGCAAAGAAGUUUGCAAUACUUCCUGGCCAAGGGAACCGUCAUUACUUGCUACUAUGAACAGUCUAUACCAAGAGUGCACAGUUUAAAGAAUCAGUUUGAUCCUGGAAGACAUUGACACCUCACUUGAUAAAUACUCUUUCAAGAACUUCAAGAGAUUGGCAGAUGGACAUUCGAGUGUGAAUUCAUACAAUUAUUGGAUCUAACCAAGAUGUAUUG
Non-coding RNA from Paramuricea clavata, 502 nucleotides. The record is from the annotation of a GenBank genome assembly. NCBI's taxonomy places the organism in Eukaryota, Metazoa, Cnidaria, Anthozoa, Malacalcyonacea, Plexauridae.